CCCUUAGAUGUUCUGGGCCGCACGCGCGCUACACUGUUCGACGCAGCGAGUCUUAACCUUGACCGAAAGGUUUGGGUAAUCUUCAGCAAAGUCGAACGUGAUGGGGAUCGAUCAUUGCAAUUAUUGAUCGUGAACGAGGAAUUCCUAGUAAGUGCAAGUCAUCAGCUUGCGCUGAUUACGUCCCUGCCCUUUGUACACACUGCCCGUCGCUACUACCGAUUGAAUGGUUUAGUGAGAUCUCUGGAUUGACGCUGGCUAGGGGGCGACCCUUGGCCAGGCUGUCGAGAAACUGCUCAAACUUGAUCAUUUAGAGGAAGUAAAAGUCGUAACA
RNAcentral lists this ribosomal RNA (331 nucleotides) under uncultured eukaryote. Its description in RNAcentral is "partial 18S ribosomal RNA". It matches the Rfam family "Eukaryotic small subunit ribosomal RNA", at positions 1470 to 1796 of the family's 1831-position model. The record is from RNAcentral.